Molecule: transfer RNA, 115 nt
Filed under: candidate division MSBL1 archaeon SCGC-AAA382A20
Lineage: Archaea; Methanobacteriati; Methanobacteriota
Description: candidate divison MSBL1 archaeon SCGC-AAA382A20 tRNA
Rfam family: tRNA
About the family: Transfer RNA (tRNA) molecules are approximately 80 nucleotides in length.
Source: Rfam by way of RNAcentral
GGGCCCGUAGCUCAACCGGCUAGAGCGCUCGACUGGUAAAAGUCAGGGCGAAGCUCAUAGGGAGCGAGGCUCCUGAGAUACCGGGCGGUUGAGGGUUCGAGCCCCUCCGGGCCCA